GGUAGAAGAGCAGCGUCAGAGCGCUGAGGAUCGCCCUCAGGCUGUGACUGGACGCUCCCUCCCUCAGCUGAGACAAACCGAAGCCCUGCACAGACACACACAGACAGACUUGGUGGUGACACUUUAAAGGCGAUGUACUGACCCUGUUCCCUGAGAAUCCGAUGAACUCCAACAACCUGAGAAUCCUCUGAGGGAGGAGCGACAACAUCUGAAAUCCACAGAGACAGUUAAGAAUUUAA
Labrus mixtus (cuckoo wrasse) is the source of this 239-nucleotide long non-coding RNA. RefSeq lists it as uncharacterized. The transcript is spliced from 2 exons. The record is from RefSeq and is a predicted model, not a curated record. Lineage: Eukaryota; Metazoa; Chordata; Actinopteri; Labriformes; Labridae.